GANNGGNNGNGUGAGAUUUUCCAGGNGUAGCNGCUGACANAUGUGUAGAAGAUNAUGAANGGANAACCGGGCGGNGAAGNGCGGGCCCCCCGGGACAGAUAUUGACACUCNGAUGCGAAAGGCGUGGGGAGCNAACAGGAUUAGAUACCCUGGUAGUUCCACGCCGUAAACGAUGUCUACUUGGAGGUUGUGGCCUUGAGCCGUGGCUUUCGGAGCUAACGCGUUAAGUAGACCGCCUGGGGAGUACGGUCGCAAGAUUAAAACUCAAAUGAAUUGACGGGGGCCCGCACAAGCGGUGGAGCAUGUGGUUUAAUUCGAUGCAACGCGAAGAACCUUACCUACUCUUGACAUCUACAGAAGCCAGCGGAGACGCAGGUGUGCCUUCGGGAACUGUAAGACAGGUGCUGCAUGGCUGUCGUCAGCUCGUGUUGUGAAAUGUUGGGUUAAGUCCCGCAACGAGCGCAACCCUUAUCCUUGUUUGCCAGCACUUCGGGUGGGAACUCCAGGGAGACUGCCGGUGAUAAACCGGAGGAAGGUGGGGACGACGUCAAGUCAUCAUGGCCCUUACGAGUAGGGCUACACACGUGCUACAAUGGCGCAUACAGAGGGCGGCCAACUUGCGAAAGUGAGCGAAUCCCAAAAAGUGCGUCGUAGUCCGGAUUGGAGUCUGCAACUCGACUCCAUGAAGUCGGAAUCGCUAGUAAUCGUGGAUCAGAAUGCCACGGUGAAUACGUUCCCGGGCCUUGUACACACCGCCCGUCACACCAUGGGAGUGGGCUGCAAAAGAAGUGGGUAGUUUAACCUUCGGGAGGACGCUCACCACUUUGUGGUUCAUGACUGGGGUGAAGUCGUAACAAGGUAACCG
RNAcentral lists this ribosomal RNA (865 nucleotides) under uncultured bacterium. RNAcentral's name for it is "bacterial SSU rRNA". It matches the Rfam family "Bacterial small subunit ribosomal RNA", at positions 631 to 1502 of the family's 1533-position model. The record is from RNAcentral.